This is a small nuclear RNA of Suncus etruscus (white-toothed pygmy shrew), 104 nucleotides long. The record is from RefSeq and is a predicted model, not a curated record. Lineage: Eukaryota; Metazoa; Chordata; Mammalia; Eulipotyphla; Soricidae.
GUGCUUGCUUUGGUAGCACAUAUACUAAAAUUGGAACAAUACAGAGAAGAUAAACAUGGUCCCUAUACAAGGAUGACAUACAUUGUUAAGCAUUCCAUAUUUAA